RNAcentral lists this long non-coding RNA (1325 nucleotides) under Gossypium barbadense (sea-island cotton). RNAcentral describes it as "long non-coding RNA (GBAR_LNC014636)". Lineage: Eukaryota; Viridiplantae; Streptophyta; Magnoliopsida; Malvales; Malvaceae. The record is from RNAcentral.
UACAAUAGAUAUUUGAGUAAAUUAAAUAGGUUUGACAGGCACUGAGAAGAGUUGUAAGUCCUAGUCUUACGCACAUUUUAUUUGCUGAUGACAACAUAGCCUUUGGUGAGGCUAUGAGAAGUGGUGCUCUGUUUUCAUCAUUCAGGAAUACGAACAUUUCUCGAGCCAACAGGUUAAUUUUUGUAAAUUUACUUAUUUUAGUGGUCGACUUUAUGUGAGCCUAAAUUUAUUGGGGGCAUGUGGUUUCAUGAUAUGGGGAAGUUCAACAUUGCUUUGUUAUCCAUAAAUUUAACAGUGUCAUGGCGAGGGAAGGAUUGGACGAUCCGAGCUCCAGUGAACGCCGGACACGACAGAGGCAGAGUCAGGAGAGGCGGUGGUAGUCAUGAAAGCAAAACGAGAAUCAGGUCUCUAGAAUCACGGCGACUGAUACCAUGUAAGUAACUCUAUAACAUUGAAUAAAAGAAAGAAAUACUGAAAUGAAAGGAAAUACUGAAAGACUGAAAGACUGAAUUACGUUAUAUUCAUUAUGGAACUUAUAUACUGACAAAGAAUGACUAACUGCUGCUAACUAAUCCACUAACAAUACACAAGACUCUGUUAAUAGACUAACAACCUUUCAUUUACAUACUUUAACACACCUGCAUUUUGCGUUGGAGGGCGGCUUUUCAAGUUGAAAAUGACAAUAUCUAAAUCACACACUGUCAGACUUCUCGUAGACAAGCAUUCCAGGCUCUAACUCCCGAUAAUAGCCGAUUACACUAAUCAUUUGGUAAACAAUUUCAUGCAUACGAGGAGACAUGCAACUUGUUGAUGAUUCAUUUACCGCUGUUGCUUCAGCUCUUGCAGGCAGAGCACAAAUUACGGUCACCUUGGCUCUCCUGGUAAACACAUUGAUUUCUACAAUUUCAUAACUUGUGACAGUACAUAGAAUUGGCAACCUGCGUGAAUUCAGAUUCUUGAAGGCCUCAUAAUCUGCAGUAUUAUCAACAACAGUCAGAUUAUACAUCAAUUCUAACAUAACUAAACUUCAAUACAUGACCAAGCUAAAAAAUAUUUUUAGGGGGUCAAAAUUAAAUUUUAAUAGUUUAUUAUUUUUAUAAUUUUUAAAUGAUUAAAUUAAAUUUUUAUCAUUUUUAUAGGUUUAAAAUAUAAUUUUAUAUUUACUAAUUUAAAAUUUUAAAAUUUUCUCAUUUAGGAAGCUGGAAUCUGCCAGUCCCCCUAUACGCUACUGCAUAUAUAUCUAUGGGUGUAACGUUCCCAUACGGAUGGUUGAAUUCCAAUAUCAUUGCCAAAAGGUUUCCUCCUGCAUCUGCAUUCUCUGAUGG